AGUGGGGAAUAUUGGACAAUGGGCGCAAGCCUGAUCCAGCCAUGCCGCGUGAGUGAUGAAGGCCUUAGGGUUGUAAAGCUCUUUUGUCCGGGAAGAUAAUGACUGUACCGGAAGAAUAAGCCCCGGCUAACUUCGUGCCAGCAGCCGCGGUAAUACGAAGGGGGCUAGCGUUGCUCGGAAUCACUGGGCGUAAAGCGCACGUAGGCGGACUCUUAAGUCGGGGGUGAAAGCCCGGGGCCCAACCCCGGAACUGCCUUCGAUACUGGGAGUCUUGAGUAUGGUAGAGGUUGGUGGAACUGCGAGUGUAGAGGUGAAAUUCGUAGAUAUUCGCAAGAACACCAGUGGCGAAGGCGGCCAACUGGACCAUUACUGACGCUGAGGUGCGAAAGCGUGGGGAGCAAA
RNAcentral lists this ribosomal RNA (402 nucleotides) under uncultured Phreatobacter sp. RNAcentral describes it as "bacterial SSU rRNA". It matches the Rfam family "Bacterial small subunit ribosomal RNA", at positions 353 to 772 of the family's 1533-position model. Lineage: Bacteria; Pseudomonadati; Pseudomonadota; Alphaproteobacteria; Hyphomicrobiales; Phreatobacteraceae. The record is from RNAcentral.